Molecule: ribosomal RNA, 468 nt
Filed under: uncultured bacterium
Lineage: Bacteria
Description: partial 16S ribosomal RNA
Rfam family: Bacterial small subunit ribosomal RNA
Source: RNAcentral
GACGAGCGCUGGCGGCGUGCUUAACACGUGCAAGUCGAACGGAAAGGCCCUGCUUUUGUGGGGUGCUCGAGUGGCGAACGGGUGAGUAACACGUGAGUAACCUGCCCUUGACUUUGGGAUAACUUCAGGAAACUGGGGCUAAUACCGGAUAGGAGCUCCUGCUGCAUGGUGGGGGUUGGAAAGUUUCGGCGGUUGGGGAUGGACUCGCGGCUUAUCAGCUUGUUGGUGGGGUAGUGGCUUACCAAGGCUUUGACGGGUAGCCGGCCUGAGAGGGUGACCGGCCACAUUGGGACUGAGAUACGGCCCAGACUCCUACGGGAGGCAGCAGUGGGGAAUAUUGCACAAUGGGCGGAAGCCUGAUGCAGCAACGCCGCGUGCGGGAUGACGGCCUUCGGGUUGUAAACCGCUUUCGCCUGUGACGAAGCGUGAGUGACGGUAAUGAGUAAAGAAGCACCGGCUAACUACGUG